Molecule: ribosomal RNA, 443 nt
Filed under: uncultured bacterium
Lineage: Bacteria
Description: partial 16S ribosomal RNA
Rfam family: Bacterial small subunit ribosomal RNA
Source: RNAcentral
CCUACGGGAGGCAGCAGUGGGGAAUAUUGGGCAAUGGAGGAAACUCUGACCCAGCAACGCCGCGUGAAUGAUGAAGGUCUUCGGAUUGUAAAGUUCUUUUCUAAGGGAAGAAGAAAGUGACGGUACCUUAGGAAUAAGCCUCGGCUAACUACGUGCCAGCAGCCGCGGUAAUACGUAGGAGGCAAGCGUUCUCCGGAAUGACUGGGCGUAAAGGGUGCGUAGGUGGUUUGACAAGUUGGUAGCGUAACUCCGAGGCUUAACCUAGGCACUACUACCAAAACUGUUGGACUCGAGUGCAGGAGGGGCAAAUGGAAUUCCUAGUGUAGCGGUGGAAUGCGUAGAUAUUAGGAGGAACACCAGUGGCGAAGGCGAUUUGCUGGACUGUAACUGACACUGAGGCACGAAAGCGUGGGGAGCAAACAGGAUUAGGUACCCUUGUAGUC